GGCAUUUGGCUGUGGAGCGAUGGGAGUCCCUUCCACUACUCUCACUGGUGCAGUGGAGAGCCAAAUAAUGACACAUACCAGCACUGCAUACAGAUGAACUAUGGAGGAUCCAAGUGCUGGGAUGACGUGUGGUGCAACCGUUAUCUUCCAUCAGUCUGUGCCAAAAACAUCUGAGAUCUCUCCGACAGAAAUCCAACAAACAGGACUGGAUGUCUUGUUAUGUGUGUCUGCUUUUACAUUUUAAUGAUCAAACUUGAUUAAAAAUUUAAAAAUGAUUUUCCAAAGUUUUGUAAGAUUUUCCCUGUGUGAUAAAUAAAAUAAUCAAGAUAUAGAAAUUAAACAUUUGAAUUCAUUAAACUAGUUUGUGAACCAAA
Molecule: long non-coding RNA, 374 nt
Organism: Poecilia latipinna (sailfin molly)
Lineage: Eukaryota; Metazoa; Chordata; Actinopteri; Cyprinodontiformes; Poeciliidae
Exons: 2
Source: RefSeq, a predicted model, not a curated record